GAUGAACGCUGGCGGCGUGCCUAAUACAUGCAAGUCGAGCGAACGGACGAGAAGCUUGCUUCUCUGAUGUUAGCGGCGGACGGGUGAGUAACACGUGGAUAACCUACCUAUAAGACUGGGAUAACUUCGGGAAACCGUAUCUAAUACCGGAGAAUAUUUUGAACCGCAUGGUUCAAAAGUGAAAGACGGUCUUGCCGUCACUUAGAGAUGGAUCCGCGCUGGAUUAGCUAGUUGGUAAGGUAACGGCUUACCAAGGCAACGAUGCAUAGCUGACCUGAGAGGGUGAUCGGCCACACUGGAACUGAGACACGGUCCAGACUCCUACGGGAGGCAGCAGUAGGGAAUCUUCCGCAAUGGGCGCAAGCCUGACGGAGCAACGCCGCGUGAGUGAUGAAGGUCUUCGGAUCGUAAAACUCUGUUAUUAGGGAAGAACAUAUGUGUAAGUAACUGUGCACAUCUUGACGGUACCUAAUCAGAAAGCCACGGCUAACUACGUG
Molecule: ribosomal RNA, 497 nt
Filed under: uncultured bacterium
Lineage: Bacteria
Description: partial 16S ribosomal RNA
Rfam family: Bacterial small subunit ribosomal RNA
Source: RNAcentral